ACUCCUACGGGAGGCAGCAGUGGGGAAUAUUGCGCAAUGGGCGAAAGCCUGACGCAGCAACGCCGCGUGUGUGAUGAAGGCUCUAGGGUCGUAAAGCACUUUCAAUGAGGAAGAAAAGAAUCUGGAGUAACUGCCAGGUUUAUGACGGUACUCAUAUAAGAAGCACCGGCUAACUUCGUGCCAGCAGCCGCGGUAAU
This 197-nucleotide ribosomal RNA is filed under the name uncultured soil bacterium. RNAcentral describes it as "partial 16S ribosomal RNA". It matches the Rfam family "Bacterial small subunit ribosomal RNA", at positions 335 to 524 of the family's 1533-position model. The record is from RNAcentral.